UUGAACGCUGGCGGCAGGCCUAACCCCUGCAAGUCGAGCGGAUGAAGGGAGCUUGCUCCUGGAUUCAGCGGCGGACGGGUGAGUAAUGCCUAGGAAUCUGCCUGGUAGUGGGGGAUAACGUCCGGAAACGGGCGCUAAUACCGCAUACGUCCUGAGGGAGAAAGUGGGGGAUCUUCGGACCUCACGCUAUCAGAUGAGCCUAGGUCGGAUUAGCUAGUUGGUGGGGUAAAGGCCUACCAAGGCGACGAUCCGUAACUGGUCUGAGAGGAUGAUCAGUCACACUGGAACUGAGACACGGUCCAGACUCCUACGGGAGGCAGCAGUGGGGAAUAUUGGACGAUGGGCGAAAGCCUGAUCCAGCCAUGCCGCGUGUGUGAAGAAGGUCUUCGGAUUGUAAAGCACUUUAAGUUGGGAGGAAGGGCAGUAAGUUAAUACCUUGCUGUUUUGACGUUACCAACAGAAUAAGCACCGGCUAACUUCGUG
RNAcentral lists this ribosomal RNA (483 nucleotides) under uncultured bacterium. RNAcentral's name for it is "partial 16S ribosomal RNA". It matches the Rfam family "Bacterial small subunit ribosomal RNA", at positions 30 to 507 of the family's 1533-position model. The record is from RNAcentral.